UUCCCCUGAUGAUCUAAAAAAAGAUACAGCAGUUUAAUCAUUAAAUAAGAGUUACAGUUAAACCAUUUACAGACUUGACACUUAAACCUAGUAUCAUUAAAUGAAGAAAGCUCCAGACUUGAGUUCUUCUAUGAAGGAACUACUGUAUUCAGGCCCCACUGCCGUUAGGGACGAGGGAAAAUCAGAUGCUGGAAAUCCAAGCUGCUGCACGAAUUCAGCAGUUGUCAUGCGAGGGGACUUCCAGUAAGAUGGCAACGUGUAAACGGCGAGUUGGUGUGAAGACGGUGUGCAGUGAAUCCAUAUGCAAGGAGUAAAAGAGAGACGAGUGUGGAUAUCAGACUGCUGGAAAAUGACGCUGGAGACGUCGUAAUGGGGGACAAACAAAUUAAGGAGGAACUUAAGUACUUUGCAUCAAUCUUCACUGUGGAAUACCAGAAAUGCAUAGAGUUAGGGGGCAAAGUGAGUAUUGCUGCUAUUACUCAGCAGAAGGUGCUUGUGAAGCUGAAACGUCUGAAGGUAGAUAGGUCACCUGGACCAGAUGGACUACACUCCAGGGUUCUGAAAGUGGAAGCUGGUGGAGGCAUUAGUCAUGAUCUUUCAAGAACCACUAGAUUCAGGAACCACUGGAAUGGUUCCACAGGACUGGAAAAUUGCAAAUGCCACACCACUCUUCAAGAGGGGAGGACAGCAGAAGAAAGGAAAUUAUAGUCCAGUUCGCUGGAGUUCAGUAGCUGGAAAAAUAUUGCAGUCUAUUAAGGAUGAGGUUGUAGGGUACUUGUAGGCACAUGAUAAAAUAGGCCGAAGACAGCGUGGUUUCCUUAAAGGGAAAUCUUGUCUGACAAUCUGUUGGAAUUCUUUGAGGAAAUAACAGGCAGGAUAAACAAAGGAGAGUAAUUGGAUGUUGUUUAUUUGGAUUUUCAGAAGGCCUUUGACAAGGUGACGCACGUGAGGCUGCUUAGCAAGAUAAGAGCCUGUGGUAUUACAGGAAAGGUAGUAACAUGAGUAGAGGAUUGUCUGACUAGCAGGAGGCAAAGAGUGGGAAUAAAGGGAGGCCCUUUCUGGUUGGCUGCCGGUGACUAGUGGUGUUCCACAGGUUUAUGUGAAAGAUAUUAGAAGGAAUAGAAUAUUGGCAGACUGGCAGGAAGCUCAGAGUGGGAAUGAAGAAAGCCUUUUCUGAUUGGCUGCCUUGUGUAGUGUUCUGCAGUGUUCAGAGUUGGGACAACUUCUUUUUAUGUUGUACCUCAAUGAUUUUGAUAACGAAAUUGAUGACUUUGUGGCCUAGUUUGUUGACAACACAAAGCUGGGUGGCGGGGCAAGUAGUAUUGAGGAAGCAGGGUGACUGCAGAAAGACUUAGAAAGAUUGGGAGCCUGGGCAAAGAAAUGGCAGAUGGAAUAUAACGUAGGGAAGAGCAUGCUUUGGCAGAUGGAAUAAAGACAUGGACUAUUUUGUAAACGGGGAAAAAAUUAUAAUGGGACUUGAGAAUCCUUGUGCAGGAUUCCCUAAAGGUUAACUUGCAGGUUGAGCCAAGUUAUUACAGGAAGGUAUCUAUAAUACCAUGGGCUCUUAACCUUUUGAGCAGCCUAAUGUGUGGCGCCUUUUGGAAGGCCUUCUGAGAAUCAAAACAAUAAUCCUUUGUCUAUCCUGCCUGUUACUUCCUCAAAGAACUUCAACACAUUUGUUAGGCAAGAUUUCCUUCUAAAAGAAACCAUUCUGCAAAAUAAGGAAGGCAAAUUCAAAGUUAGCAUUCUUUACAGGAGGUCUAGAAUACAAGAGCAAAGAUGUAAUGCUACAGAUUUAUAAAGGCAUUGGUCAGACUACAUUUGGAGUAGGGUGGCCACGUUUGUGCCCCUUAUCCAAGAAAGGGUAAGCUGGCAUUGGAGAGAGUCCAGAAGAGAUUCACGAGAAUGAUUCUGGGAAUGAAAGGGUUAACACACGAGGAGCACCAGAUGACUCUGGCCCUGUAAUCAAUGGAGUUUAAAAGAAUCGGGCCAGAUCUCAUUGAAAUCUAUUGAAUAUUGAAAGGUCAAGAUAGAAUGGAUAUGGACAGAAUGUUUCCUAUAAUGAGGGAGUCUUAGACCAGAAGGUUGAGCCUCAGAACUGACGAACGUCCAUUUAGAACAGAGAGGAGGAAAAAUUUCUUUAGCCAGUGGGUGGUGAAUCUGUGGAAUUCUUUACCACAGAUGGCUGUUGAGGCCAAGUCAUUUGAUAUAUUUAAGGCAGAGGUUGAUUUAAGGCUAGUUCAUAGGUUCUUGAUUAAUCAGGGCAUCAAAAGUUAUGAGGAAAAGGCAGGAGAAUGGGAUUCAGGGGAUAAUAAAUCAGGCAUGAUGGAAUAGCAAAGCAGAAUUGAUGGGCUGAAUGGCCUAAUUCUGCUCCUAGCUCUUAUAGGAGAAAAACUUAUCAGAAUAGCAGAAAUUCAAACAGAUUUGCUUGCUUGAAUCAGAUUGCUUUACUACCCAUUCUAACAUCUACUGUAUAUUAUGUUUUAGAGAAAUAAUACU
Molecule: long non-coding RNA, 2499 nt
Organism: Hypanus sabinus (Atlantic stingray)
Lineage: Eukaryota; Metazoa; Chordata; Chondrichthyes; Myliobatiformes; Dasyatidae
Exons: 4
Source: RefSeq, a predicted model, not a curated record